This 967-nucleotide long non-coding RNA is filed under the name Homo sapiens (human). RNAcentral's name for it is "non-protein coding RNF217-AS1:14". The record is from RNAcentral. Lineage: Eukaryota; Metazoa; Chordata; Mammalia; Primates; Hominidae.
GCAGAAGACUUGUCUCUUGGCGAGGGACGGGCGCCGCUGACCCAGCACGUCCAGGACCAGUCCGUCGGCGGCCCCCACGCGGGUCCUGGGCUCCAGCUCUUCGCCGGGGGGCGCCUCCUGCUGUUCAUCCCCUCCCUCUUUUCGAUCCCCAGCUUCCUCCUCUUCCUCCUCCAGCUCCAACUGCAGUGGCAAGGUCUGGGGAUUGAGAGGCCCGGCAUGACUAAGAGAUAUCGUGAAAUUACAACUCAACAAUGAAUUACAGCACAGGCUUUUCACAACUAAGAGACUGUCCAUCAUGGUGCCAGUUUUUCUCAAAAUGGCAUGUGUGCAUGAAAUUCUACAGGCAUAUGGGGUCGUGAUCUGCUAAUCUCCAGUUAUUAUAACUACUUUGAAAAGGGACUUUCCAGCUAUCAGUACACUAUCUCACAAUUACCCUUGAACCAGAAGACAAUGAAUGAUUUGCUAAACAGAUGGCAUAGUCUAUGACAUGCAUCAUAUGUGUGAGCAAUCACAGAAGACUCCUUCCUGUUGCCUUGUGAAGAAGGCUCCUGCUUCCCCUUCACCUUCUGCGCGAUUGUAAGUUUCCUGAGGCCUCCUAGCCAUGCUUCUUGUUCACUCUGCGGAACUGUCCUGAGCUGAAAAGAAUAUGAGAAAUCGGAUUUUACGACAUACCAAAUUAUGAUUGUAUGUCCCAGAAAUUCACUUAGAAGCUAAUAGAAAAAAUGAAACCAAAGCCUUUUGAGAGUUGAAAAUUUAUCAUGACAUAUGCUGGCUGCACAGUCAAAACUUAUCACUGCCCACGACUUCGGAAGCAUGACAGGAGAGCUGUGGGAGCCACUUCCUCGUCAGACGUGGUUUGAUAUGUCAAGUGAGAACCUGAGUAAAGCAAAGAGGUGAACUAUGACUUGGAAUCCUCCAGGCUUUGGCUUCCAUCACACUCCAUGAACUUGAUGCACAUAAUUUAAUG